UCCGGUUUGUCACCGGCAGUCUCCUAUGAGUCCCGCUUUCACGGUUCUACUACCUACAUGUCAAGGCCAGGUAAGGUUCUUCGCGUUGCAUCGAAUUAAGCCACAUACUCCACCGCUUGUGCAGGCCCCCGUCAAUUUCUUUGAGUUUUAAUCUUGCGACCGUACUUCCCAGGCGGCACGUUUAACGCGUUAGCUUCGCCACAAAAGGGGUCGAUUCCUCUUACAGCAAACGUGCACCGUUUACGGCUAGGACUAC
RNAcentral lists this unclassified non-coding RNA (256 nucleotides) under uncultured Verrucomicrobiae bacterium. Its description in RNAcentral is "contains 16S-23S intergenic spacer region". The record is from RNAcentral. Lineage: Bacteria; Pseudomonadati; Verrucomicrobiota; Verrucomicrobiia.